RNAcentral lists this small RNA (76 nucleotides) under Xanthomonas oryzae. RNAcentral describes it as "sX9". It matches the Rfam family "Xanthomonas sRNA sX9". The record is from RNAcentral. RNAcentral also lists the same sequence under 4 other names. Lineage: Bacteria; Pseudomonadati; Pseudomonadota; Gammaproteobacteria; Lysobacterales; Lysobacteraceae.
AGGUAGCACGCGUGCACUCCGGUUCCUGUGCGCCGUCCACGUCCACUUGACGGUGACUGGCUAAGGUUUGUUCGCC